RNAcentral lists this ribosomal RNA (253 nucleotides) under uncultured bacterium. Its description in RNAcentral is "partial 16S ribosomal RNA". It matches the Rfam family "Bacterial small subunit ribosomal RNA", at positions 524 to 776 of the family's 1533-position model. The record is from RNAcentral.
UACAGAGGGGGCAAGCGUUGUUCGGAAUUACUGGGCGUAAAGGGCGCGUAGGCGGCCUUCUAAGUCGAACGUGAAAUCCCCGGGCUCAACCCGGAAACUGCGUCCGAUACUGGAAGGCUUGAAUCCGGGAGAGGGAUGUGGAAUUCCAGGUGUAGCGGUGAAAUGCGUAGAUAUCUGGAGGAACACCGGUGGCGAAGGCGACAUCCUGGACCGGUAUUGACGCUGAGGCGCGAAAGCCAGGGGAGCAAACGGG